Molecule: transfer RNA, 63 nt
Filed under: Echinococcus oligarthrus
Lineage: Eukaryota; Metazoa; Platyhelminthes; Cestoda; Cyclophyllidea; Taeniidae
Description: tRNA-Cys
Source: RNAcentral
GAAUGCGAUUAUGGUUGGUUUUGCAAAAGCUGAUUAGGGUUUGUGGUUGUGACCCCGUGUUUU